ACAUACGAAUCCGAUUCGUUCUAACCAAUUCGAGCUUUCGAACAUCGUUGCUUUCGUACGAACGUGCCAUUCUUGUUUACGUACGUAUGCGUAUCCGUAUUCUUUUUGCUCUCGUUCGCAAACGUCAGUCAAAAGUUGCGAAUCGCUGUACGAAUCGCCGGCGCCGGUAGUUUUUUCUCGUUUUUCUGCUGUUUUGUGCAAGUUUUAUUUUUUGAAAAAUCGUAUAAGCCGAAGAAAAUUUGUUUUGUGAAGUGUGUGCAACAUUUGCGGUAAUCGAUUUCUAAAAAUUUUCCAGUUUUGGGAACGGAAUACCGCCAGUCGAAAGUUGCGGAUGGCUGUACGAAUCGCCGUCGCCACGGGUUUUUCUCGUUUUGUGUUUUUGAAAAAUCAUUUGGCUGAAGAAAAUUUCUAGCUAUGCGAAAUGUGUGCAACAUUUUCAAGAAAAACAUAUGUGACAUGGAUUUUUAAAACAGUUUCCAGUUUUGCAAACGGAGCAGCAACGUUAGUCAAAAAUUGUGGAUCGCUAUACGAAUCUUUUACAAAUCGCCGGCGCCGGUAGGUUUUUCUCUAUUUUUUUUUUUUGCUGUUUUGUGUUAGUUAACUGGAAAAAUCGAAUGAGCCGAAGAAAAUUUAUUUAGUGGAUUGUUUAAUAAAUAAACGUUAUCGAUUUUCUAAAAUUCAUUUUGGUAACGGAACGAAACAUCAAAGUCAGUCGAAAGUUGCGAAUCGCUGCGAGAAUCGCCAGCGCCGGUAGUUUUUCCUCGUUGUUUCGCUGCUUGGUGUUGGUUCUUUGAAAAAAAUUGAAUAAGUUGAAGAAAAUUUGUUGUUUCGUGAAGUGUGUGCAACAUCCAGAAAAACAUCCAGGAUUUGUGACAAUCGAUUUUUAAAAUCUUCAGUUUCAGAAACGAAACACCGUUAGUCGAAAGUUGCGGAAACGAAUGUACGAAUCGCCGUCGUCGCGGGUUUGUUUCUCGUUUUCCUGCUGUUUUGUGUAAGGUUUUUUUUUUUUUGAAAAAUGGCCGAAGAAAAUUUCUAGUUUAGCGAAGUUUGUGUAACAUUUUCAAGAAAAACAUUUGUGACAAUGGAUUUUUUAAAAUCUAAAUGAAUCGCUAUACGUAUCUCUCUACAAAUCGACGGCGCCGGUACUUUUUUCUUGUUUUUUGCAAGUUGCAAAUGUUUGUACAAAUCGCUGUCGCCGCGGGAUGCUUUGGUUGUUUUGUGUGAAAAAAUCGAAUAAGUUGGACAUUAUUGUUCUAGUGAAAUGUUCAGUGCUAAGAAACCAUGCGGUAAUUAAUUUAAAAAAUGUUGGAAAUUGAGCACAGCCGAUAGAAAUUUAUUGAGGUUUGCCGUUAGUUCUGGGAGAAUGGCGAUAAAAAAUUUAUAAGUCGCUACCAUAAAUGUACUAAUUAUCAAUAAUCUGCCGAAAAUUUGGAUCGUCGGGAACAGCAAAAAGUCAACCACCAAGUAGAUUCUGAUUGGCGCAGAUAGUUGACUGGGUAACAUGAUAUAGGAUAAUCAAUUUAACAUUACUUAAGUGAUAUAGAUGCCGAUGUGUAUACUAGGAAUAAUCGAUCAGGAGCUACUGGAAAUUACUUAAAGUCAAAUCGAAUCACGAUUCUCCUUCCGACAAAUAUUUAUACUUGCUAUGAGAGAUAACUUUGCUGGGAGACUAAGAAUACAACAAAGGAACCAAUUCCCUCGGAUGCUUCACAAAACCGCGUGCUACAAUUCAGAGAGCUGGUUCCGUUUAGUGUUGAUCAAAAUACAAAUGCCGUAUAAUUUAAUUUAAUUUUAUCAAUAAUAAUAAUGAAUUAAUUUUAAUUAUUUUCAUAAUCGAUUGUUAUAUAUAUCUAGUUAUGGUUCUGACGUGAAGCACUUUGGUUUAUCUUCCGGGAGCGUAAAUUAUUUAAUAAAGGUGAUUGACAUUAGAACGCAAUCGCAAGUUCGAGUUUUUUCCCAGCAAUAAUUUUUUUUAACAACAAGUUUAACGAAAGUAUUCAUAUUUGUGAUCGAAAAACUAGAAAAAAAGCCUAUUUAGAUCUAAAAAGAUAAAAAAUCAAUCAACUGGUUCCAGAGGCGUCGCGUGGUUGAUUUCGUCACAUGUGCACCGAACAUUUAUUUAAGUUCUUUUUCCUUAAAUGAAAGAAGCAAAUCAAACCUAAGUGAUUGAUGCUUUGAAUGAAAGGGUGUCGCUAGUAUGCUUACUUGUUUUUAUAGGUUAUUAUAUUUCGAUAAUUGCAUAUGCUCGGAUAUUAGGGAAUAGUGUACCUGUGCAGUGCACAGGUGGACUCGACGCCAUUAAUUGGUUAAAAAAUUAUGGAUGUUUGAAAAUAAAAUACUGCGAAUAAAGCCGUUUUUAUUGGGCACCCUAUUAUUAGGUUUAAUUAAAUAUUCACGAUGUCAGCAUUGCAAAUUGUUUCUCUCAAAAAGCCCUAGAAGUCGUUCAAAGAUAGUUUUAAUGUAACAAUUUAAAUAAAAGCAGUAAGAGCGAAAAAUUAGUUU
Long non-coding RNA from Wyeomyia smithii (pitcher-plant mosquito), 2502 nucleotides. RefSeq lists it as uncharacterized. Lineage: Eukaryota; Metazoa; Arthropoda; Insecta; Diptera; Culicidae. The transcript is spliced from 3 exons. The record is from RefSeq and is a predicted model, not a curated record.